This is a non-coding RNA of Podarcis lilfordi (Lilford's wall lizard), 74 nucleotides long. NCBI's taxonomy places the organism in Eukaryota, Metazoa, Chordata, Lepidosauria, Squamata, Lacertidae. The record is from the annotation of a GenBank genome assembly.
GCCUGGCUAGCUCAGUUGGUUAGAGGGUGGUGUUGAUAACGCCAAGGUCGCUGGUUUGAUCCCCAUAUGGGACA